Molecule: ribosomal RNA, 550 nt
Filed under: uncultured bacterium
Lineage: Bacteria
Description: bacterial SSU rRNA
Rfam family: Bacterial small subunit ribosomal RNA
Source: RNAcentral
CGGGUACUCGAUGUGUAAGACCCCGGCGUCUAACCGGGAACGGGGUCGAUUGGAAACUGGUUUACUUGUAGUACAGAAGAGGAGAGUGGAAUUCCAUGUGUAGCGGUGAAAUGCGCAGAGAUAUGGAGGAACACCAGUGGCGAAGGCGGCUCUCUGGUCUGUUACUGACGCUGAGGUGCGAAAGCGUGGGGAUCAAACAGGAUUAGAUACCCUGGUAGUCCACGCCGUAAACGAUGAGUGCUAAGUGUUGGGGGGUUUCCGCCCCUCAGUGCUGCAGCUAACGCAUUAAGCACUCCGCCUGGGGAGUACGACCGCAAGGUUGAAACUCAAAGGAAUUGACGGGGACCCGCACAAGCGGUGGAGUAUGUGGUUUAAUUCGAAGCAACGCGAAGAACCUUACCAGGGCUUGACAUCCUACUAACGAAGCAGAGAUGCAUUAGGUGCCCUUCGGGGAAAGUAGAGACAGGUGGUGCAUGGUUGUCGUCAGCUCGUGUCGUGAGAUGUUGGGUUAAGUCCCGCAACGAGCGCAACCCUUAUUGUUAGUUGCUAC